GACUACAAGUAGGUAUAGACCUUGAAAUAUAAGUGAGUUGCACGGACUAAGCACAGUUAGUUGUAGUUUAUUAUGCACUGAGUGUAGAAAUAGAUAUUGUUGUGAUGGCCUCGAUUAAACCGCAGCGUAGCGCGGAUGUUACUCGAGAUACCAACCGUUUCCUAUCCCUCUAACUCUUCAAUCUAUGAUUUUUUGCUGCUCUUUGCCCGUUUUUGCUGACGUAAGCAAUGAUAUUCAUUGAUUUGUGACAUCACUUGUCUUUAUUUGCUACAUCCAAGCUCAUGUGAUGUCUAACCUGCAACUAGUCUAACCUGCAACUACACCUAGUCAUAAUGUGUCACAGGGGCGUGGCAAUUUACACUACUACGCAACAGAAACCAAGAAAAUCACCAUUUUUGACAAGAAGGGCCGCUCUAGCAAAGAAGAGACUGGUCUAGCUCCUGAUGUCACGGAAGUGUGGUCGUCUAGUGAAGAUUCAGAGUCAGAUUCUGACGUUGAAGACAAUGGUCAUUGGUCAGCGAUACAAGAGACAGAUAAUCAGUUUCGGAUACUAUAGUUUCGGAUACUAUUUAUAUUUAUUUUGCUCUGGCAAGCUACAUACAACGUAUCAAGUGCUGGAGUGACAAGUUUUCUUAAAUUUGCACGGUACUUCAUUCACUAUCUUGGAAAGGCUUUUCAGUGUGAGUUGAUGGUACAAGCUUCCUCCUCAAUUCCUGCUACCAUGGGGAAAAUGGAAAAACUAGCAGGACUCAACAAGCAGUCAUUCACUGAAUACGUAGUUUGUCCAAAGUGUAGCUGCAUUUUCGAAUACAAGGAUUGUAUACAAAUAGUUAAUGGAAAGAAAGAAUCGAAGCGAUGUUGUCAUGCAUUUUGAGUUCCUAAUCAUCCUCAACCCUGUGGUACCUUGCUAUUAAAAUCACACAAAACCAAGAAAAGAACUGUUUUAACACCAAUAAAAGUAUAUCCAUACCGGUCGCUUAAAACAAGUAUAUGUCACCUCUUAAAACGGCCAAGCUUUGUAGAAAAAUGUGAGCAGUGGAGAAGCCGAGCUAAUGUCAUUCCAGAAGAUUUUCUUGGAGAUGUUUAUGAUGGCAACAUAUGGAAACGAUUUUCGAGUGCUGAGUACAAUAACUUUUUAAACAAUCCUCACUCUUAUCGUUUGACUUUAAACAUAGACUGCCAUUCAAACGAACUGUGCACUCCACUGGUGCCAUGUACAUGACAAUCCAGAAUUUGCCUAGAAAUGAGAGAUAUAAGAAAUGAGAGAUAUAAGCAGGAAAACGUUAUAUUGGUGUUGGAGUAAUGCCAAAAAAAAAGAAUGCACAAAAAAAGGCAUAUCAGAAAAGGAUGUUUGAUAGAAGAAAAAAAUUUCUGAAAUCAGAAAGCGAGAAAAAACAGUGGGCUGAGAUUGAAGAUAGGUAUAUGACACAACGGGGAAAAUGUUUACAGACACAAAUUACCAUGGAGAUCAACUAGACUGAACACUUAUGUUGCAAAGCUUGCCAGCAGAGCGACCAGUGGAAGAAUACAGCUGAAGCCACGCGUUGAGUCUGUACUCUCUAUCCUAUCUCCUCCACAAAAACUGAUCUCCACAGACAGUAUUCUGGGUAGCUCUACCAUAGUUUUAAUAAGUGCUGAAACAUUAUUAUUUGAAGCACACCAUGGGCGGUCAUUUGGAGCCGGAGAUGGAGUCUCUUGAGCUGUUUCUUUUCGUGGGCUGGCUAGCCGGCUACCGUGUACAUGUACCUUGAACAUCAAAGAGACAGGUAAUCUGUACCUAGAUCAUAAUAAUACAAGUGUUGGUAAAUAAAAUAAUAGCCAAGUUUUUAUGUCACUCGUACUACGUACAUGUAGUGUAGUGUGUGUGCUUGUGUGGAUGUGUCAUUGGUGCCAGCAGCCUGUAAAGAUGUGUCAUCGUGGCAUUUAUUACAAGGGUUUAUUGUUACUUUAAAUAGUGUGUAUUGGCUUGGCAUCCGGUGCCAGCAGCCUGUAAAGAUGUGUCAUCUUCUGUCAGGUGGCCUUUAUAUAGGAGCUACUUUAAAUAGUGUGUGUGCUUGUGUAUUGGCCCUGCCUGUAAAGAUGUGUCAUCUUCUGUCAUCUUCUGUCAGGUGGCCUUUAUAUAAGCUCAUGUACUUUACAAGGGUUUAUGGUACUUUAAAUAGUGUGUGUACUUGUGUGUACUUGUGUAUUGGCCCUCGUGCUUGGAUGGAUGUGUCAUCCGGUGCAGAUGUGUCAUCUUCUGUCAGGUGGCCUUUAUAUAAGCUCAUGUACUUUACAAGGGUUUAUGCUACUUUAAAUAGUGUGUGUACUUGUGUAUUGGCCCUCGUGUAUUGGCCCUCGUGCUUGGAUGGAUGUGUCAUCCGGUGCCAGCAGCCUGUAAAGAUGUGUCAUCUUCUGUCAGGUGGUCUUUAUAUAAGCUCAUGUACUUUACAAGGGUUUAUGCUACUUUAAAUAGUGUGUGUGCUUGUGUAUUGGCCCUCGUACUUGGAUGGAUGUGUCAUCCGGUGCCAGCAGCCUGUAAAGAUGUGUCAUCUUCUGUCAGGUGGCCUUUAUAAUAGUGUGUGUACUUGUGUAUUGGCCCUCGUGCUUACGUUAAAUUACUGUCAUAGAGUUUAGAUCAUACAUAUAGGAGUACACGCUAUAUUAAUUUCAUUCUUUGUUCUUCAGAUUUACUCAUUCUCUCUUUGCGGAAAGGAGGCUCACCUAUACACAAAUUAAGAUAAGGUUGCCACCAACUUCUUUUGUGUGUUAUUAACAGUCCUGCUAAGUCUUCAGGGUCGUCAAAAAUGGAAUGGAACGUUGACUGUUCCUGACUUCCCAUUACAAGUGUUGGCAUCGAUACCGGCACCAUUGUUGAUUUGCUGUGUGAAGUUGUAUCCGAGCAGAGCCGGAUGGAAGAAGGUAUUAAUUAGAACGAGACUCGAGAAUGACACGAUGAAUGACAGUGGCGAAAGGAGUGAGGAACAAGACUCUGUCGCUGAGAGUGAUACGAUGAGUGAGAUGAGUGAUGGUGGUGCAAUGAGUGAGAGUGGCACCAGUCAAGACGAUCAAAUCACAUUGCGUGACCUGGCAGCGCUCUCAAGUGGUGAAUUCUCCAUUGAGGAUGAUCCGAACACAUGUGUUUUGGGUCAUGUGUUUUGGGUGAUGAAGAACAGACAAAAGAACAAUCAAUUACACUGUCGACAUCAAUGGUGUAAUUAUUGUGUCUGAAGACCUCCGGGUGUAUAACCUGUGUCAUGCACCGGUGUUAAAAGGUUCCACCCGAAAUCCAUGGUGAUCGACAUGCACACAUACCUUGCCAAGACAGCACCUCUGGUAUGUUCAUGGAACUGCUGACAUGAGUAUGUAUGACAGUCAGAUACCAUUGGGGUUCCCUGUUUCAAAGCGGCUGAGAGUACCAGGCUUUGCCCACUAGGUUCUACGUUGCCUGCGAGAUUAAGGACGAGAAUGUGGUGGCAGCUCCAACCUCCGUUCAAAUGUUACUCAAGAAAAGUUUUUAUAUUGAUGUGUUGUGCCCAGCAAUCUCACGGCUGCCUACGACUCGGAAGGAGAAGGAUAAUGCUGUGGAGACGAUUAUGUCCACCAAGUUGCUACCAGCGUCCUUUACUAUCAGUCAGUCCAGUCUCGGCCCAAUGUCUCCACUGACAGGUUAUGGUAAGUGGUUGGACGCAGUUCUGAAAUUAUUUAGGUGAGAGUCCUGUGUCCCCAUCAAACAACCCAAGACAAGUUAUGGUAAGUGAUUAUUUUGAAUAGAUGAAGAUUGGAGCGCAAUGUCUCCAUCAACUCCACCAACUGGCAGGUUAUGGUAUGUGCGUUAUGGUAAGUGCCUUAAAGGGAGGGUGACUUAGUGAGGCAGAUUUAGCAUCCUGUCUAACAUACUUCCUGUUGUGGUUGAAUGUGGGCGCGGCUACUACAUGAUGUCAUAGAAGGAAUACAUGCAAAACUUAAUGCCACUCAACUGUAGCACUAUGGUCAACAGAUUGUAGCUGCUGGGUGCUCAAACACUCCUAGUGAGCUUUCCCAAGGAUGCUGGAUAAAAAAAAAGUGAAGUUCAACGAACAAGAGCUCAGUGUAUGGAAGGCCACUGAUCAUGCACUCGUGAACAUUUUACUGAUGACAGCUUUGAAAUUAACUCAGCUCUUACUUGGCCUGAAGAAAAGAAGGCGCUGAAACCAUGAAAUUGGUCAUAAGAGAAGAGCAGAAGGGGGUGGUAUCGGAAGAAGAAGAGGAGUUGUAGAGAAAAGGCAACGGCAUGAGAUUGUCAAUCAAAUUAUUGCUGGACCCUCACACUCUCCAACUGGCUUCUGCUGAAGUCGAACCAGAUGAUGAACCUAGUCCUAAAUACAACCAUGUAUCAGUGCAAGCCUGUGUUCAAGUUAGCCAAACAAAAACAAGCGCUAAGGGUAAAAGCAAAUCAUCUGAUACCUACCAGCCUAUUAUAAGUAGCGAUUUUGUAAAACCAGAAAAAUCAUGCCAUUCCGCACCAAAGCAGAUUCAUCACCCCUGACCACUAACAUUUUCAUGUUCGUAUGACAGUUUAUAUUUAUAUUGUAAAAUGACACUUGUGGAUAUUUAAAUCCAGCAUAGUUAGCAGAAGUGUCCUGAAGUUUCCCUGAUUUGGUUUACAGCGCAGCUAGCCAUCCCCAACACCAACCAACAAGUUGCCGAUAAGCAAUGAACCGGUAACGCCUACGAAUAAAAUACAUGGCUUAUAAUUCAGUAACACUUUAUACUCAUGAAUGUGCUGGAUCACCAUAAUGAUAUCUGUAGUUAGAGUAUGCUAUUUGAAGUACCCACACAUCGAGGCACACCGGUGUGAAUCAUUCAUGUCAACUUAUAUCAGUGUGAUUUCUUCCUUCUUCUCGACGACUUUCCACUUCACAGCAACAUACACAUUCUCACCUGAAUAGAUUACAUGCUUGUUUAUGUGCAUUUUUGUAUGAAGCACAUGCACCUUCAGAGUCAUCAUCUUCUUCUCCUUCUUCUCCUCCUGGUUCUGUGUCUAAUGGUACAUGGUGUGCCACUCUCAAAUCUGUAGGGCUCAAUUGUUUCUUGAUUACUUCCAUGUUCUGAAACUUCUGACACAUCAUUUCAACAGAAGACACUGAACAGUGGUAUCGCCACUGCACAACUUCCUGUAAAAUUAAUUACAAUGGGCGGAGUUCAUAAAUUUGCAAUGCCAAAGAACGCUUUCGCUGCCCAUGUUUGCUGAUGUUCUACAGGAGUUUGGGCCACAGAUGAGACUGAGAAGUAAUGUCUGUCUCAACAUAGUCAUCUUCAGAAUUAUAAUGGCACUGCUCUGAUAAUACAAGAUCGUGUACAUCAUCCUCUUCAAAUAGGUUUUCUGGAGAAUCCCAUUGAAUCCCCAGUUCUCCAUUUUAUCGCUUCCAUCCAUGUGUAGUGAGAGAGAGCUGAAAUAGGAAUUAACAAGUUCUUUUGGUGUCUCUUUCAUUGAACCGGGUGUGUCAAACACUACGUGGACCUCCUGUACGUGGACCUCCUGUACACCUGCCUUAAUGUAGUGGUGUUGUCUGAAUCAUGAACAUUCCCUCUAGGAUCACUGAAUGUGGUACCCACAGGGGAGGGAAGCUGUUUAGAAUAACUGGACUCGCAUGGUAGUCUAUGAGGAGGAUGCAAGGUAGUGAGUGUACAAUGUGUUGUAGUGAUCCACCUGGUCAUCCUCAACUGUAAAACAUGCUACUUUUUGUUGCAGCACUUCCUCAAUCUCUUCAACUGAGAGACGACAGGGUCCACAAGAACCUUCGUAGAACGCAUUGAGUCUGGCCAUAUACACUGCUGAUGAUUCUGUAUACUGUGACAAAUUUGAUGUGUGAUGUAUGGCUUCAUUGCUCAUUCUUGUGUGUGUUUACAAUUGUGUGUACAUAGUAUUUUUAUGUCAUCUUUGUACAUCGAUAUCUCGGAAAAUAUACAACAUACAUGACUGGAAAUUUGCUUAAAUAAUUGGAAAUUUCAUACUGUUUCUUUUAGUAGUAAUAAGUGUGGGUUACCUUGAGGAAGCUGGAAAUGGCCCCAAUUGAAAUGGCCCCAAGUCAAUCUUGGCUUC
Halichondria panicea is the source of this 6064-nucleotide long non-coding RNA. RefSeq lists it as uncharacterized. NCBI's taxonomy places the organism in Eukaryota, Metazoa, Porifera, Demospongiae, Suberitida, Halichondriidae. The transcript is spliced from 19 exons. The record is from RefSeq and is a predicted model, not a curated record.